AACGAACGCUGGCGGCGUGGAUAAGACAUGCAAGUCGAACGCUGGUUUGAGGGUAGCAAUAUCACCAAACCGGAGUGGCGCAAGGGUGCGUAACACGUGGGCAAUCUACCGCAAAGACUGGAAUAACCUGCUGAAAAGUGGGCUAAUGCCGGAUGUUGUUUUCGAGGGGCAUCCCUUGAAACCAAAAGUUGGGGACCGAAAGGCCUAACGCUUUGCGAUGUAGCCCGCGGCCUAUCAGCUAGUUGGCGAGGUAAUGGCUCACCAAGGCUAAGACGGGUAGCUGGUCUGAGAGGACGACCAGCCACACUGGAACUGAGACACGGUCCAGACACCUACGGGUGGCAG
Molecule: ribosomal RNA, 345 nt
Filed under: uncultured bacterium
Lineage: Bacteria
Description: bacterial SSU rRNA
Rfam family: Bacterial small subunit ribosomal RNA
Source: RNAcentral